Non-coding RNA from Mycena galopus ATCC 62051, 99 nucleotides. Lineage: Eukaryota; Fungi; Basidiomycota; Agaricomycetes; Agaricales; Mycenaceae. The record is from the annotation of a GenBank genome assembly.
UCGGACAUGGUGUACGGUGCACCGCCUCCUCAACUGUUGAUUGCGCGUUCCGAAGUUAUUAAGCAGAGGCUGCCCGGGGUUCGACUCCCCGUGUCCGAA